UUGAAUGGAGUAUAUUAUUAGAGAGAAUGAAUCAUGCAUGUUCAGGAGGAUAUUUGCAGAAUAUAGAAUGGAACAUGUGGUUUGUUAGAAUAGGACUCAAGAUAAAAUGCAGUGCAAAGAAUAUUCUCUAUAAAAUGUUCUGAAUGGUCUCAUUUAACCAGUAGUAUAAACAAUGUAAACAAACAAAAAAUUAGCCAAUCAAGAACUAUAUAUAGAGUAUCAUCGUUUAGUGCACCCAGGACAUAGCAGGGACGGAUAGGCGCCAAACAUAGUGAAAUCAAUGGUAUUAGUCACGCCCUGUCUGCAAUUAGCGAAUCAAUCACUUCGACAUCCUCCAAUGAACCAAGGGGUGAUCAAUUGUGGGUGAUCUAUGGCUUUUUC
This 381-nucleotide long non-coding RNA is filed under the name Phoenix dactylifera (date palm). Its description in RNAcentral is "long non-coding RNA (PDAC_LNC004109)". The record is from RNAcentral. Lineage: Eukaryota; Viridiplantae; Streptophyta; Magnoliopsida; Arecales; Arecaceae.